GACGAACGCUGGCGGCGUGCUUAACACGUGCAAGUCGAACGCGCCUGUCCUCUGGGUUUCUGGGGGGUGGGUGAGUGGCGCACGGGUGAGUAACACGCGAGUAACCUGCCCCCUUCUUCGGGAUAACGGUCUGAAAGGGCUGCUAAUACCGGGUAUUCACUGGUCUCCGCAUGGGGUCUGGUGGAAAGGUUUUUUUCUGGUUGGGGAUGGGCUCGCGGCCUAUCAGCUUGUUGGUGGGGUGAUGGCCCACCAAGGCUUUGACGGGUAGCCGGCCUGAGAGGGUGACCGGUCACAUUGGGACUGAGAUACGGCCCAGACUCAUACGGGAGGCAGCAGUGGGGAAUAUUGCACAAUGGGCGCAAGCCUGAUGCAGCGACGCCGCGUGAGGGAUGGAGGCCUUCGGGUUGUGAACCUCUUUCGCCCGUGGUCAAGCCGCGACGUGGGUCGUGGUGAGGGUAGUGGGUAAAGAAGCGCCGGCUAACUACGUG
This 488-nucleotide ribosomal RNA is filed under the name uncultured bacterium. RNAcentral's name for it is "partial 16S ribosomal RNA". It matches the Rfam family "Bacterial small subunit ribosomal RNA", at positions 28 to 507 of the family's 1533-position model. The record is from RNAcentral.